This 209-nucleotide unclassified non-coding RNA is filed under the name uncultured fungus. RNAcentral describes it as "sequence contains ITS1, 5.8S rRNA gene". The stretch from base 161 to 209 matches the Rfam family "5.8S ribosomal RNA", at positions 1 to 49 of the family's 154-position model. Lineage: Eukaryota; Fungi. The record is from RNAcentral.
UUUCCGUAGGUGAACCUGCGGAAGGAUCAUUAUUGUGAACCGGGGCGGCGCAAGCCGUCCCAUCCCACACACCUCUGUGAACAACCCCGUCGGCGGCGCAAGCCGUCGGCAACCUUUGCAACUGGCGUCCUACGUCUAGAAAGUAAUAACAAAAGAGUACAACUCUCAACGAUGGAUCUCUUGGCUCUCGCAUCGAUGAAGAACGCAGC